Molecule: ribosomal RNA, 296 nt
Filed under: uncultured Chroococcidiopsis sp.
Lineage: Bacteria; Bacillati; Cyanobacteriota; Cyanophyceae; Chroococcidiopsidales; Chroococcidiopsidaceae
Description: partial 16S ribosomal RNA
Rfam family: Bacterial small subunit ribosomal RNA
Source: RNAcentral
CCAUGGGGAAUCUUCCGCAAUGGGCGAAAGCCUGACGGAGCAAUACCGCGUGAGGGAGGAAGGCUCUUGGGUCGUAAACCUCUUUUCUCAGGGAAGAACACAAUGACGGUACCUGAGGAAUAAGCAUCGGCUAACUCCGUGCCAGCAGCCGCGGUAAUACGGAGGAUGCAAGCGUUAUCCGGAAUCAUUGGGCGUAAAGCGUCCGCAGGUGGCAAUUCAAGUCUGCUGUCAAAGGUCGGGGCUCAACCCUGAACAGGCAGUGGAAACUGAGCAGCUGGAGUGCGGUAGGGGCAGAG